Felis catus (domestic cat) is the source of this 381-nucleotide long non-coding RNA. RefSeq lists it as uncharacterized. NCBI's taxonomy places the organism in Eukaryota, Metazoa, Chordata, Mammalia, Carnivora, Felidae. The record is from RefSeq and is a predicted model, not a curated record. The transcript is spliced from 2 exons.
GGGGCUCGAACUCACAGACUGCGAGAUCAUGACCUGAGCGGAAUUCAGACACUUAACCGACUGAGCCACCCAGGCACCCCAACGAUGACAAUCAUUAAAAAAAAAAAAGACUAACAGCCUCUAUCCUUACAGAUGGAACCUGAUGCUCCAUACCUAAAAAAUCAUUGUCUUGCCAUUGCAGUGGAAGAUCAGUGGUUGCCUGAUGCCACUCUAAGGGUCUGAAAACAGAUGCCAUUCUUGGAUGAUUAAAUCAAACAACCCUGAUAUCUACAUGGCCAGGACUAUACUAUGGACAAUGCUCAGAAAUCUGUGUUGUAUCAGUUUUAUACCAUUGUUGUCAAUUGUUCUUGAAUUAGUUUCACUAAAAUAUUUUGAAAAAUG